Molecule: unclassified non-coding RNA, 1714 nt
Filed under: Trichogramma pretiosum
Lineage: Eukaryota; Metazoa; Arthropoda; Insecta; Hymenoptera; Trichogrammatidae
Description: cD63 antigen-like, transcript variant X1
Source: RNAcentral
UCGUGCGCAUCGGCUUAUAUCAUCGUAUAUAGUCGCUCGCUCGCCGCUGCACAUUCGCAAUUGGCAGUAGAUAUAUCGCAGUUGAUAUACGCACGCGCGACUCUUUUAUAAUAUAAUAAAUAAAAAUAUACAGGGAGUCGAGAGAAGCUUGAAAAAAAGCCGCAUCAUUUGUUUGUGCCGAUUCGAGUGCUCGUACAAGAAGAAGAAGAAGAAGAAGGAGCCAACGUCGUCGUGUUGUUGUGUGUCGCAAUUGCAGUGCAAUCGUCGUCCUGUGCAGUUGUCCUACUAUACUCCUCCUUCUGUGCUCGUGCUCGAGAGUCGAGUCGAGUCGUAUAGUAAUACGUAAAUAGGCCCUAUCGAGUUUCGUCGUUGCUCGCUCGUCCCACGAGCGAAUUAUCCCUGCGAAAAUGGUGUCCGGCGGUAUGGCCUGCGUCAAGUACCUUUUGUUUCUCUUCAACCUCGUAUUCGCCAUCACCGGCAUCGUGUUCAUCAGCGUAGGAGCUGUGAUACUCAUAACGUAUCGAGACUACAAUAAUUUCGUGGACAUAUGGAUGUUCGCAGUUCCGGUGCUCAUGAUCAUCGUCGGAGUGGUAGUCUUCAUCACGUCCUUCUUCGGAUGCUGCGGCGCAGUCAAGGAGAACCACUGCAUGAUCAUAACGUUCUCGGUACUGUUAAUACUGAUCUUCGUACUUGAACUGGGUGCUGGAAUCUCUGGUUACAUGAUGCGCGGCAAGGUCAGCUCCAUGCUAGAAAAGUGCAUGAACGACACGCUCGUUGCCUACAAUUCCAGGGAAGACUAUCGCACAUCGUGGGAUAUUAUGCAACACGACUUGCAAUGCUGCGGUGUGGAUCGCCCGUCCGACUGGGAAAGGGCCGGCUUCACCGGCAACACUCUGCCCCAGUCCUGCUGCACCGAGAUGCAGGGCAUUGAUCCGACUUGCGACAUGAACGAUAUCAAGUCCAAUACCGAGGGAUGCAAGCAGCAGCUACAGAGGAAAAUCGAAGAGAACGGACUGAUCCUCGGUGGAGUGGGCAUUGGCGUUGCUCUCAUACAGUUGAUCGGUGUGCUGUUUGCUUGCUGCCUAGCUCGCUCAAUACGUCGCGAGUACGAGACUGUGUAAGCUGAUCCCAAAAGACUAUAAUAAUCUAAAUUCUAAACACUGCUAUCUGAUUGCCAAAAAAUGAGACCACGGCACAUUGAUCGGCCAGCGCUUUACCGGCUAAAUUUUUAUGCUAACUUGUCCAUCAUGCAUAUACAUAGUAGAAGAAAAGAAAACAAAACAAAAGUAAACGCUACAUUUUUUAGAAAAAAUUGAAAAAGUAACAAAGUACGUCUCGCGCGACUAUGCAACAAUCAUCAAAAUCAUCCCGUUUAUCGUAGGUUUUGUGUUCAGUUUAGUUAGUGGUGGCAUUGAUGGAACAUAAGACAAAUUGAACUACCAAAAUGAGAUAAUUGACCAGCAAACAGCUACUUUGCUGUACUUUAAAUUGGUGAACACAUUUUAAAUGUAUCUUAUCUUUGAAAAACCUUAUAAUGUUCGAUGAUUUUGAUCCGUUCGAACCUUAAGAGUUGCGCGACGUCAACUUGUACAUUGUAUUAUAGUAUUACAUAUGCUAUACAUGAUGGAUAGAUUGUGCUAAUUUAUAAAACUUGAAAAUUCUAAAAAUGAAGAUGGGUUAUGAAGAGAUUUAAGAAAAAAAUAUGGUAAAUUAC